GACGAACGCUGGCGGCGCGCCUAACACAUGCAAGUCGAACGAGCAAGAGAGAGCUUGCUUUCUCGAGCGAGUGGCGAACGGGUGAGUAACGCGUGAGGAACCUGCCUCAAAGAGGGGGACAACAGUUGGAAACGACUGCUAAUACCGCAUAAGCCCACGGCUCGGCAUCGAGCAGAGGGAAAAGGAGCAAUCCGCUUUGAGAUGGCCUCGCGUCCGAUUAGCUAGUUGGUGAGGUAACGGCCCACCAAGGCAACGAUCGGUAGCCGGACUGAGAGGUUGAACGGCCACAUUGGGACUGAGACACGGCCCAGACUCCUACGGGAGGCAGCAGUGGGGAAUAUUGCACAAUGGGGGAAACCCUGAUGCAGCGACGCCGCGUGGAGGAAGAAGGUCUUCGGAUUGUAAACUCCUGU
RNAcentral lists this ribosomal RNA (413 nucleotides) under uncultured bacterium. RNAcentral describes it as "bacterial SSU rRNA". It matches the Rfam family "Bacterial small subunit ribosomal RNA", at positions 28 to 436 of the family's 1533-position model. The record is from RNAcentral.